UCGUGGCGGCCUCCGCGCCUUGCGGAUUUGCGGCCCGACCCUCUGCACAGGGGGUGAGCCUGGAUGGGACGAGGCUUGAGGGAAGGAAGGGCGACCGUCGCGGCCCCCACGGAAGGCAGCCUUUCUACCUUUUUUCUUCCAGACUUAUUGACAUAAAAUGAGAAAUACAACGUUUGACAACUCGAAGCCAGCCUGGGGGCACAUUCCGGCAAAAAGUGGAAACCAGCAAAGCCAAGGACAGAGAGGUCUUCAGGGAAUACAUGGCUAUGUGGUUUGAAGACUCCCAUUAGAGAGUGGAUAUUAAUUGCCCUCCUUUUGAAUAUGGUCUGGACUUAGUGAUUUGAUUGUAACAAAUAGAAUACAGCAGAUGUGAUGCUAUGUGACUUCCAAACCUAGGUCAUAAAAGGAGACAAAGUUUUCACCUGGCUCUCCCUUGGGACACUCACCUUUGGAACCCAGCUGCCAUAUUGUGAGGAAGCUCAAGCCACAGGGAAGCCCAUGUGUAGGUGUUCGGGCUGAUGGUGCCAGCUGAGGACCCAGUCUACUGCCAUACAACUUAUACCAGGCAUGUGAGUUGGCGAGCUUUUGAAAGAACUCUGACUGACCACGCUGCCUGAGAGACCUAGAGAGAAAACCUUGCUGAGCCAAGUCAGGCUCCGGGAACAUAAAUAACCCGCACCUCUGCCUACUUUCCUUACUCAAGUCUUUGAUGAUAUCAUCUUUUCAGAAGAGGCAGGUGCGGCACCUCUGGAACCUACAUUAACUCUCCCAGCAGACAAACAGACACAUUUCUUUCACAAGAGCCACCUCCCUUCUAAUGGAGAAGUCUGUUGCUCUUGGUGUUCCCUGGCCUGCCACACCUACGCUGUGUGGCCUGGAGUUGUACCCCAGUGUGCUCCAAUAGCAUUUCUUCCACCUGCCUGGCAUGGAACUGGACCACCUGGCAUUGCUCUCCUACAGCUACCUGGCUUCUCUGCUAUCAUCGACUGCAUGAUCCUGCCCAGGAGAGUAACAAGGAGUAAUCCAUCCCCAAGUGCUGCCAAAUUGGCUCCAUCCCAUACCCAUGUUCUUCAGAAUCUGGUCACACUGGUUAAUAGGAGCAGUAACAAUGGUUCACACAUGCAACAAUGGAUCCACUUGCAAAAUAUGUUCAACACAGGCUGUGCAAUAACAUCCAAACAUCUGAAUCCUAAGUGUGAAUUCCAGUUCAACAGCACAGACAUUUAAAAUCUAAUGCCUAAAGUCAGAUUUUAGGCAUCUGAUUUUAAUCAUCUUGGGGUAGUGGAGGUUGCAGUGAGCUGAGAUGGUGCCACUGCACUCCAGCCUGGAUGAAAGAGUGAGAUCCACUUUCAAAAAAAAAAAAGGUAUGUCCUAUGUCCUCCAAUAUGUGGUACAAUGUUAAAAUUAAUUGUAAAUCUCUUCAGAGUGUUUCAAGCAAUCCCUUGGUCAGGGACUUCCCUCAACAUACAUAUAUAACACCCAAAGGGCAUGCCUAACCAGGACCACAGGGAAUAGAUGAAGCCAAACUUAAGUUUCCUCCUUCUGCAUGGUAGAGAAACCUUAUAUAUCAAAAGCAAAUUAUUACACUUUAACAUAGAAGAUUAGAGGAACACAGCACCCUUUUAACAGAACCACAAAUGAAGUAGAAUUUCUGAGAAUAAGAUUGGCUAAGCUUAUUGAAAAUAUAGACUCCAGACUUUGUUUUUUCACUAAACUAUAUAAGGCAAAACAAAGGAGGAGAGUGGUGAUAAAGGGUGGGGAGAAGGGGAGAGGAAAGUCAGGAGAACUGUAUGAUCAUCACUGUUCUACAGAACCAAUCAUAAAUCCAUUGUUCUCAAGGAAACCAAUUCACUUAAGUUGCCUGAUUAUUCUGAUAGCAGGUAUAGCCAAGUAUAACUAAAGCCUAAUACACCUAAAUGAGUGUUUUUCAACAGAAGCAUAAAAAAUGUGUUUAUUAUCCUGACAGGUUCCCCCACCCCCCCAGUGCAGUGGUCCUAUUCUAAAUCUCAUUUUUUAAUUGAGUGCUUCAGACGUUGAAGGUUGGGCCAGUCAGUCCCAUAAGACAGGGAACGGGGUGGGCGGAGCUCCCAAGAGAAGCCUUCUUUGUUGCUUCUCACAUUGUGCAUGUCCUAAUCCCAGUGCAGACAGGACCAGAGCCAGGAAGAUUUGUACUACCUGUACUACCUGUGGUUAUUGACUAGCUUAUGAUUGUGCUUUUUGUUUUGUUUUGUUUCUCUCUAUCUUUCUUUUUCUUUUUUUUUUUUUUUUUG
Long non-coding RNA from Cercocebus atys (sooty mangabey), 2270 nucleotides. RefSeq lists it as uncharacterized. The transcript has 4 exons. NCBI's taxonomy places the organism in Eukaryota, Metazoa, Chordata, Mammalia, Primates, Cercopithecidae. The record is from RefSeq and is a predicted model, not a curated record.